CUGAAAGAAGAAAAUUAAGAAUUCACUUUCUCUGUUCUUUCAUGCUGAUGAAACUCAAUAAAAUGAACACUCAUUUAAGCAAAACACAAAAUAACAAGUAAUUUUUUGGAAGUUCAAAUGUAUUCAAAAUUUAAAAUCCUUUCUUCUGCUUUUUUCCUUUUGCAGUAUUUGCCAUCUCUCUUAGAAAUCCAAAAAGAACAUAUUGGUUAUCAGGAAAUGGAUGAAUCAGUACCCUCCAGAGGCAGAGCUCAGUUGGGGAAAAAUUUCAAGAUAUGGAGAACAGAUAUCAAUGAACAUAAACAAUACUGCUGUGAGAAGAGAGAGCUGGGACUACUCAAGGCUCACAUGAAUUCCUACAUUUUGGACCUGAAAUAAAAUUUGAGGAUGAAAAAUGGAUGCUUUACUUCACAAAUCGAAAUGGAGGAUGCCAAGAGGAGAGGAGCCUUGUGUCAGAGCUCAGCAGACAGUUUCUGACCCUCCCUGAUCCACGAG
This 492-nucleotide long non-coding RNA is filed under the name Zonotrichia albicollis (white-throated sparrow). RNAcentral describes it as "lncRNA (ENSZALG00000009278.1)". Lineage: Eukaryota; Metazoa; Chordata; Aves; Passeriformes; Passerellidae. The record is from RNAcentral.